GACGAACGCUGGCGGCGCGCUUAACACAUGCAAGUCGAACGGAAAGGCCUGCUUUCCCUUGUGGAUUGCGGGUACUCGAGUGGCGAACGGGUGAGUAACACGUGAGUGAUCUGCCCCCAACUUGGGUAUAAGCCUGGGAAACUGGGUCUAAUUCCCGAUAGGACUGCAGGGUGGUGCCUGUGGUGGAAAACGAUUUUCUAGUGGUUGGGGAUGAGCUCGCGGCCUAUCAGCUUGUUGGUGGGGUAAUGGCCUACCAAGGCGGCGACAGGUAGCCGGCCUGAGAGGGUGGACGGCCACAUUGGGAUUGAGAUACGGCCCAGACUCCUACGGGAGGCAGCAGUGGGGAAUAUUGCACAAUGGGCGGAAGCCUGAUGCAGCGACGCCGCGUGGGGGAUGACGGCCUUCGGGUUGUAAACUCCUUUCGACCGCGAGGAAGCCACCUGGUUGGAAGGGUGGUGACGGUAGUGGUAGAAGAAGCACCGGCUAACUACGUG
RNAcentral lists this ribosomal RNA (494 nucleotides) under uncultured bacterium. RNAcentral's name for it is "partial 16S ribosomal RNA". It matches the Rfam family "Bacterial small subunit ribosomal RNA", at positions 28 to 507 of the family's 1533-position model. The record is from RNAcentral.